RNAcentral lists this long non-coding RNA (535 nucleotides) under Homo sapiens (human). RNAcentral describes it as "non-protein coding lnc-MRGBP-1:1". The record is from RNAcentral. Lineage: Eukaryota; Metazoa; Chordata; Mammalia; Primates; Hominidae.
CUGAGUGGUUAUUUUGUGGACUGUGACAAGCACUUCAAAUACAAAAUGUUAGGAGGGCAAAACGGUGCGGGCCCUCGUAGGUCAGGCAGGCACCAGUGGGCUCCUUCCUGCUGAAAGCUGCGGCUGUGAGAUGAGACCGCUGGCUGGGUCACAGAGUGAAAUCCAGCGUUCCGUGUGCGGACGAGGAGACAAGCUGUCCUGGCCAGCCAUCGCACCCCAAUGUCUUCAGCUUGACGUUGCUUCUCUGCCAGUGGAGCCUCCUCCACCACCUGGGAACAUCCCUGGCCAUCUGUCCCUGAAGUCCUCCUCACCAUGACGCAGAUCACAAGGCACCCACUAAAGGGGCAAAGCCAGGAAUCCCGUGCCAUGUGAUCGCCCCGUGUGGCACCUGCCACUCGUCUGCACCAAACGCACUGCCAGUUCUGGGGAAGAACAGCCCAGGGAAGCUGCUGGUCUACGGCCUGCCUGAGCUGUAUUCCAAGGAAAUAUUCCUGGAAGAGGGGAUUCUCUGCGGGGCAGGCAUCCUCCGGGGAGA